AAUCAACGCUGGCGGCGUGCCUAACACAUGCAAGUCGAACGAGAAAGUGGAGCAAUCCAUGAGUAAAGUGGCGCACGGGUGAGUAACACGUGACUAACCUACCCUUGAGUGGGGGAUAACCUAGGGAAACCUGGGCUAAUACCGCAUAAUACCUACGGGUCAAAGGAGCAAUUCGCUUUAGGAGGGGGUCGCGGCAGAUUAGUUAGUUGGCGGGGUAAUGGCCCACCAAGACGAUGAUCNGUAUCCGGCCUGAGAGGGCGCACGGACACACUGGAACUGAAACACGGUCCAGACUCCUACGGGAGGCAGCAGUGGGGAAUUUUGCGCAAUGGGGGAAACCCUGACGCAGCAACGCCGCGUGGAGGAUGAAGACCCUUGGGUCGUAAACUCCUUUCGAUCGGGACGAUAAUGACGGUACCGGAAGAAGAAGCCCCGGCUAACUUCGUGCCAGCAGCCGCCGCAGU
RNAcentral lists this ribosomal RNA (464 nucleotides) under uncultured bacterium. RNAcentral describes it as "bacterial SSU rRNA". It matches the Rfam family "Bacterial small subunit ribosomal RNA", at positions 32 to 524 of the family's 1533-position model. The record is from RNAcentral.